AUAUAAUCACAUUCAUAUUACAAGAUUAUCACUCAUCCACAGCAACCAAUCAUAGAAAGCAAAGAAUGGCUUCUUUUUCAGUGGAAGAAUUCAUAGGAAAUGGAAUUUUGAAGGAACUGCUCCAAAAGCUGUUGGAAGAAGGGAUGCACUUGGAAUCAGAUCAUACCUGCACGAUCGCGGACUAAUGCAAUAUGCAGAUAAGAUGGAGGACUGUGGGAAAGCUCUGUCAGAGCUUAUCAAUUUAAGCACCACAGAUCUUUCCUAAAACUCUUAUAUGUUUUCUUUUUGGUUUGAAAGCAUUUCACUAUUUCACUUAACCAAUAAAAAAAGAGAAGAUUAUUAAAUCAAAGGACAAUUAAAGUAGUCCAUCUUUUUGAUUAAAGAACAAAAGCAACAUCAACAACCAAAUUAUCCAUACAUAACAAUAUAAAAUCGACAGUUUGUUUUAUAGUCCAAUGUAACAUGUGCAUUAGACAUCAUAGUAGAGACUCAAGCUAAAACUCCAUGCACUUCUAAUUUUUGCUUUCGACACCCCAUUAAAUUCCAAAAAACCCAAUCUGAAAUAUUUUAGAGUGUCAGAAACAACAAUAUUAGAGGUGCAAGAAGCAACAAUAUUAGUGGCAGAAAAAAGAAUGUUAAAUGUUGGGGAUAUUCUUCCUGCACCAGCCAUUUUUCUUCUACACCCAACAAAUAAUGUGAAAUAUCAAAUUUGACCUUCACUUAAAAGCUGAAAUACACCAUCUCUUUGCUACCGUGUUCCAUUUCAUCUGCGUGUCUCUACUCCUCCUCCGCGAGUCUCUCCUCCUCCUCCUCAUGUUUUCAAUCCGUGCUUCCUCCACGAGUCUCUUCUCUUCCAUGAGUAUCUUCUCCUCCGCCGCUGUGAGCACCGCUAUGUCAUCGAUGAUUAUGGUUAGAACCAGAGGAUUGCGUCGGGCUUUAGACAGAGUUUUAGGUAGAGUCUUAGAUAGACAGGUUAGUGGUGAUAAGGAAGAAGCCCCUCAGCGUCGAAGGAUGACAACAUCGACACGUAGACAACCAAAAGUUGCAGCUGUUGCCAAGGAUAUUGAGCAUGUGGAUCAUGCUGCUGAUUCAUGGGGUUUUCCAGGCGGGCCCCAAGAUACAUCAAUGUUGACAUCAUAAGCUGAUUAUGCGGUAGCCAAAGUGUGGGCAGGAGAGGAACAUACUGAGUUGAAGUUGGACUUUCAUGGGAGGAAGGUGGAGAAAUAUGGAAGGCUUGCACCUGAGAUUGAAGUCUUGGAUCUACGAGCAUUUUCCAACUAUUGGGAAUAUGAUUGCUAAUGAGGACUACCAUGAGAGAAAACCAUGUGCUUGUCGUUGGAAGCAUGGGAAUGCAUUACUAGUGACCACCUACCGUAAGCGCUUGGAUAGGUUGACGACAAAUACUGUUUGUUGGAUACCUUAUGGUAAUCAUUGUGGUUUCAAAGAAUUUGAGCUAAUUUCUCUAUUUUCUGGACAUAUUAGAUGUGGUUCAUAUAUUGUUAGACACCUAUCAGAGAGGGUAAUAUGACAGUUUGGCUAUGUUCAGUCCAUUCCUCCAUUCCAUAGUUCUCCAUCGCUAUCCACAGAGGAAAUUGAUGAUAAAUGGCUUUAGUUUUCACAAUACCUUUCAUCGAUAAGAGAUUUUGUUACUUUUCCUGGUCAAUGUGCUAUAGGUUAUAUGGAGUUAUUUUAUAUGAUAUCUCACCCAUUUAUGAGUCUGCCACAGCUUGGGGAGCCUUCUAGACAUCCACCCAUGGUGCAUGAUCCUACAUCAGUUAUGGCACAUCCAUCUGUGUUGCCUGUUGAUACAACAGCUAUGCCACAUCCACCUGCACCAGCACCUAUUGAUGUUGACAUGCCUCGACAUGCAGUGAUAUAAAAUACUUACAAUUUUGUUAAGCUAAAUUUUUUUUUAAAUACUCCAAUAUUUAUUAUUCAUGUUGUUGUCAUUGCCUUAGGCUGCUUGCCAAAGGAUAUUAGAAAGCUUGCAACACAUGUUAGAUAUGAGGGUGGCCAUUGUUGGAAUUGAUGCAUACAAUAUAACAAAGCACUAUUUAAGAUUAGCUAGAGGUGUCAUUGAGAAAUGCAAUGUUUAUGUUCGAUCAAGAUGAAGGAGGGAUACACAUGGGAGAGAUGGUGGUGGAUGAGGAUAAUGAUUUUCUAUUAUUUGAUUGACUAUGUAUAUGACUAUGAUUAACAUAUGCAUUUAUUUUAUAUUUGACUAUUAAGUUCGAUCCGAAACAAACAUUAUGCUCAUUACACAAAUAUGAUUAGUAAAGUGUUACAUGCA
Molecule: long non-coding RNA, 2290 nt
Organism: Glycine soja
Lineage: Eukaryota; Viridiplantae; Streptophyta; Magnoliopsida; Fabales; Fabaceae
Exons: 5
Source: RefSeq, a predicted model, not a curated record